RNAcentral lists this ribosomal RNA (454 nucleotides) under Dialister invisus. RNAcentral's name for it is "bacterial SSU rRNA". It matches the Rfam family "Bacterial small subunit ribosomal RNA", at positions 29 to 457 of the family's 1533-position model. The record is from RNAcentral. Lineage: Bacteria; Bacillati; Bacillota; Negativicutes; Veillonellales; Veillonellaceae.
ACGAACGCUGGCGGCGUGCUUAACACAUGCAAGUCGGAACGAAAAGACGGAAAGAGCUUGCUCUUCUCAGAAUUGAGUGGCAAACGGGUGAGUAACACGUAAACAACCUGCCUUCAGGAUGGGGACAACAGCGGAAACGACUGCUAAUACCGAAUAAGUUCCAAGAGCCGCAUGGCCCAUGGAAGAAAAGGUGGCCUCUACCUGUAAGCUAUCGCCUGAAGAGGGGUUUGCGUCUGAUUAGCUGGUUGGAGGGGUAACGGCCCACCAAGGCGACGAUCAGUAGCCGGUCUGAGAGGAUGAACGGCCACACUGGAACUGAGACACGGUCCAGACUCCUACGGGAGGCAGCAGUGGGGAAUCUUCCGCAAUGGGCGAAAGCCUGACGGAGCAACGCCGCGUGAGUGAUGACGGCCUUCGGGUUGUAAAACUCUGUGAUCCGGGACGAAAAGGCAGA